This is a long non-coding RNA of Crotalus tigris (Tiger rattlesnake), 195 nucleotides long. RefSeq lists it as uncharacterized. The record is from RefSeq and is a predicted model, not a curated record. NCBI's taxonomy places the organism in Eukaryota, Metazoa, Chordata, Lepidosauria, Squamata, Viperidae. The transcript has 3 exons.
GGGAGAAUGGUGGACACAGAUUCGUGUGUCCGAUGGACGCAGGCCUUCCUCCCAAGGGGGUUUGAUGGGUGUUCGUGCCACCGCCCGGAGCCCCAGGAAGGAAGAGGUGAUGCCAGUUCUCAUUUCAGUGAGAAAUGAGAAGAUAGCGAAGUGGAGGCCGCGGCUCUCAACCAUCUGGGAGACCUGCAUUGAGUC